Molecule: ribosomal RNA, 254 nt
Filed under: uncultured bacterium
Lineage: Bacteria
Description: partial 16S ribosomal RNA
Rfam family: Bacterial small subunit ribosomal RNA
Source: RNAcentral
UACGAAGGUGGCGAAUGUUGCUCGGAUUCACUGGGCGUAAAGCGUCUGUAGGUGGCUUGUUAAGUUAGAGGUGAAAGCCCCGCGCUCAACGUGGGAACUGCCUUUAAAACUGGCGAGCUUGAGAGUAUCAGAGGAAGGCGGAAUUACUGGUGUAGAGGUAAAAUUCAUAGAUAUCAGUAGGAACAUCCAUGGCGAAGGCAGCUUUCUGGGAAUACAUCUGACACUGAGAGACGACAGCGUGGGGAGCAAACAGG